Long non-coding RNA from Danaus plexippus (monarch butterfly), 429 nucleotides. RefSeq lists it as uncharacterized. Lineage: Eukaryota; Metazoa; Arthropoda; Insecta; Lepidoptera; Nymphalidae. The transcript has 2 exons. The record is from RefSeq and is a predicted model, not a curated record.
AGCCUGGCCACUAUUAAUAUGAGACUUUUGGCAAACAAACUCCAUGCACAAUCGUUAUUACACUUUGAAUUGUGAGUUAGAACAAAACAACAUACCAAUACAGAUUGCAAAUAGAGUGCAACCAAAAAACUUAUAUUUUUAGUCGAGCAUAUUGUAAUUUUUAAAAUUGGAACGAAAGUCUCAUAGCUUAAUCUUAUAUUUACUUUAAUGGUGGUAUGUACUGAAGGAGGAUGAAAGAAUACAGAAAAGUCAAGUUUUAAUUGAAAUAGUGCAGCAGAAGCUAAGGUACCAAACAAUACGUAGCAAUGUACAAAGAGUAAAUUGUGUAGAAAUAAAAAUGUAAACUUCUUUAAUCCGAUAUGUUAUUGUUAUGACCAUAUUUUUUGGAGUCUUAGCCAUUCAGAUAAAUAAAAUAAGUCUUAAAAGGUU